GAUGAACGCUGGCGGCGUGCCUAAUACAUGCAAGUCGAGCGAACAGACGAGGAGCUUGCUCCUCUGACGUUAGCGGCGGACGGGUGAGUAACACGUGGAUAACCUACCUAUAAGACUGGGAUAACUUCGGGAAACCGGAGCUAAUACCGGAUAAUAUAUUGAACCGCAUGGUUCAAUAGUGAAAGACGGUUUUGCUGUCACUUAUAGAUUGAUCCGCGCCGCAUUAGCUAGUUGGUAAGGUAACGGCUUACCAAGGCAACGAUGCGUAGCCGACCUGAGAGGGUGAUCGGCCACACUGGAACUGAGACACGGUCCAGAAUCCUACGGGAGGCAGCAGUAGGGAAUCUUCCGCAAUGGGCGAAAGCCUGACGGAGCAACGCCGCGUGAGUGAUGAAGGUCUUCGGAUCGUAAAACUCUGUUAUUAGGGAAGAACAAAUGUGUAAGUAACUAUGCACGUCUUGACGGUACCUAAUCAGAAAGCCACGGCUAACUACGUG
RNAcentral lists this ribosomal RNA (497 nucleotides) under uncultured bacterium. Its description in RNAcentral is "partial 16S ribosomal RNA". It matches the Rfam family "Bacterial small subunit ribosomal RNA", at positions 28 to 507 of the family's 1533-position model. The record is from RNAcentral.